AUGGCAUGGGGAGGCCUCUUCCUGAGCCUGAGCCGCCCCACACCUGAGCAGCAGAAGUCGUGCCUCGCGGCUGCCGGCGGCUUCAACUACGACGCGGAUCUCCACGGCGCCACCCACCCGAAAUCACCAGCCGCAUUAACAACCUCUGAAGACACCGACAGGGCGCUGGCGGACCGCGGCUUCUCCGUGAACCGCUCGCGCGUCCUCGUUGGCUCCGGCGCCGACGCCUUCCGCCACGCCAAGUCGGCCCUCCUCUCCUGGAAGCACCUGGCGCUGGGGUGGGCGGAGGCGGAGCCGGGCACGCCGGUGAAGGCCGGCGCGAGGUUCUGCAUCUGCUACAGGGAGGUGGUCCCCUGGGUGAUGUUCCCGCUGCAGAUCGCCUACGUCACCGACGACAAGUACGAUGGUGGCAAGCGCGGGAAAGGCGGCGGCGUGUUCGCGUUCGGCAGCGGCACCCUGCAGGGCCAUCUGCUGGUAACUAGUGCAUCCUGUUUCCGGCGUGAUCGAGUGUGUGUGGGUUGGGGGAUCAAGUUGGAGCAGACUGAUGAUGGUUUGGGUGACAUGGUUGCGUGGAUGCAGGCCGGGGAGGAGCGGUUCUCGGUGGAGGUGGACGCGGAGGAGCGGGUGUGGUACGAGGUGGUGUCCUUCUCCAAGCCGGCGCACCCGCUGUCGGCGCUGUGCUACCCCUACGUGCGCCUCCGGCAGAGGCACUUCGCGCGGGAGUCCGGCAAGGCGGUGCUCAGGCACGUCGCCGCCGCAGCCUGCUCGCCGACUGCGACGCCAACGACGCAGUGA
Molecule: ribosomal RNA, 795 nt
Filed under: Triticum aestivum (bread wheat)
Lineage: Eukaryota; Viridiplantae; Streptophyta; Magnoliopsida; Poales; Poaceae
Description: partial small subunit ribosomal RNA
Source: RNAcentral